RNAcentral lists this transfer RNA (92 nucleotides) under Penicillium ucsense. It matches the Rfam family "tRNA". Rfam says of the family: Transfer RNA (tRNA) molecules are approximately 80 nucleotides in length. Their secondary structure includes four short double-helical elements and three loops (D, anti-codon, and T loops). Further hydrogen bonds mediate the characteristic L-shaped molecular structure. tRNAs have two regions of fundamental functional importance: the anti-codon, which is responsible for specific mRNA codon recognition, and the 3' end, to which the tRNAs corresponding amino acid is attached (by aminoacyl-tRNA synthetases). tRNAs cope with the degeneracy of the genetic code in two manners: having more than one tRNA (with a specific anti-codon) for a particular amino acid; and 'wobble' base-pairing, i.e. permitting non-standard base-pairing at the 3rd anti-codon position. The record is from Rfam by way of RNAcentral. Lineage: Eukaryota; Fungi; Ascomycota; Eurotiomycetes; Eurotiales; Aspergillaceae.
GGUUCCAUAACUCAGUUGGUUAGAGUGUGGUGCUAAUAUCAGCUGCAAAGUCUGUAACGCCAAAGUCGAGGGUUCGACCCCCUCUGGGACCA